GAUUAACGCUGGCGGCGUGCCUAACACAUGCAAGUCGAGCGGCAGCGAGUUUUACACUGAAUUCUGGAAGCUUCUAGUUGAAAGAGAAGAUUUAUUCAAGAAUUUUGUGUAAAAUGUCGGCGAGCGGCGGACGGCUGAGUAACGCGUGGGAACGUACCCCAAAGUGAGGGAUAACGCAUCGAAAGGUGUGCUAAUACCGCAUAUGGUCUUCGGAUUAAAGCCUUCGGGCGCUUUGGGAACGGCCUGCGUAAGAUUAGAUAGUUGGUGGGGUAAUGGCCUACCAAGUCGACGAUCUUUAACUGGUUUGAGAGGAUGAUCAGUCAGACUGGAACUGAGACACGGUCCUGACUCCUACGGGAGGCAGCAGUGAGGAAUCUUCCACAAUGGGCGAAAGCCUGAUGGAGCAACGCCGCGUGCAGGAUGAAGGCCUUCGGGUUGUAAACUGCUUUUAUAAGUGAGGAUUAUGACAGUAACUUAUGAAUAAGGAUCGGCUAACUACGUG
This 502-nucleotide ribosomal RNA is filed under the name uncultured bacterium. RNAcentral describes it as "partial 16S ribosomal RNA". It matches the Rfam family "Bacterial small subunit ribosomal RNA", at positions 28 to 507 of the family's 1533-position model. The record is from RNAcentral.